Molecule: ribosomal RNA, 377 nt
Filed under: uncultured Pseudobdellovibrionaceae bacterium
Lineage: Bacteria; Pseudomonadati; Bdellovibrionota; Bdellovibrionia; Bdellovibrionales; Pseudobdellovibrionaceae
Description: bacterial SSU rRNA
Rfam family: Bacterial small subunit ribosomal RNA
Source: RNAcentral
AGACGAGGGAUCCUAGCGUUGUUCGGAAUCAUUGGGCGUAAAGCGGAUGUAGGUGGCUUUGUAAGUCGGGUGUGAAAGCCCAGGGCUCAACCCUGGAAGUGCAUUCGAUACUGCGAAGCUUGAGUGCUGGAGAGGCUACUAGAAUACCUGGUGUAGUGGUGAAAUACGUAGAUAUCAGGUGGAAUACCGGAGGCGAAGGCGGGUAGCCAGCCAGACACUGACACUCAGAUCCGAAAGUGUGGGGAUCAAACAGGAUUAGAUACCCUGGUAGUCCACACCGUAAACGAUGGAUACUUGUUGUUGGAGGUAUUGACCCCUUCAGUGACGAAGCUAACGCGUUAAGUAUCCCGCCUGGGGAGUACGGUCGCAAGAUUAAA